GCGGCCGCGGCGCCAUCUCUACUGCGGGCAAGGGCCCGGCCGCCAUUUCGCUGUGGGCCGAGGCGGGGCCCCGCGCACCGGAGGGGGCGGCGCUGCUGAGGGCGGGAGCUCCGUGUGCCCGUGAAAGAACCCCCGCCUGGGCUGCAUGGGGGUGGAAGGGUCGUGAGACCGGCCUGGAGUGUCAGUGCGCUGGUUCUGGAAUGGGGAGAGUCAGCGCUGACCUACUGAUAGACUCGGCGGUGGGCACAGAGACGGGGAGGAAGCUCUCUGAUGGCGCACAAGUGGUCUCAUUAAGAAGACUGAGUUCUGCAAUUGAGCAUUGUCAGGAGCUUUGUCUGGUGACAACAUGAGUGGUGGCCACUUCGAAAGCAAAGGUUGUAUGGGGCUUGGGAGUGGCAAUGUAGUGCUGUGAGGAGGAAAUUGCAAGCUGCUCCACCGGCUGUGAAACAGGGGAAUAGACUCAGCUGCCAUAAAUCCUCUGAAAUGCCUCAGAGUGAAGUUUACCACUGAGGACAACUAAGAAAAACUACUUGCAAGUCAAUCUUUGUGGGGUGAGUCUUACUACCAGUUGGCUUUUUCUCUGUGCUAGAAA
Molecule: non-coding RNA, 592 nt
Organism: Taeniopygia guttata (zebra finch)
Lineage: Eukaryota; Metazoa; Chordata; Aves; Passeriformes; Estrildidae
Source: RefSeq, a predicted model, not a curated record